Molecule: long non-coding RNA, 1704 nt
Filed under: Vigna radiata
Lineage: Eukaryota; Viridiplantae; Streptophyta; Magnoliopsida; Fabales; Fabaceae
Description: long non-coding RNA (VRAD_LNC003181)
Source: RNAcentral
CCCCACCAUCAUUUGCUUUCGGAUCCCAGCAUCUCCUCAAACAUCCCUCUUGUUUCUUGGUCUUGAUUCGUGAUUCAGAAAGAAGGUUCUGCCAAAUCAAGAGGGGUAUUCUGAUCAUAGUGUGUGUGUGCAACAAUGGCUAUGGCUAAGUUCCUUGCAGCUAUGAUCUUGGCACUCAUUGCCAUUUCCAUGCUUCAAACCGUGGUUGGUCUUUAACAAUGUCUAAGAACCAGACACAUUUAAUGUUUUUCAUGUUUUGGUACCACUAGCGUACUAGUGUUGAGAGAUUGAAGGCUUCUUACACUUUUAAUGGCUUUAUUUUUCAGGUUAUGGCUGCAAAUGGGCAUGGAGACCACCUGAAUGAUAACAAGGUAUGCUGCAUCUCUUUCUCUCUGGUUUUGUGAAGAAUGAAAAAUGGGGUCUAGGGAUUUUGCUUUCUAAGGGGUGAAUCAGUGCUGAUUUAUGCUGUUUGUUUCUGCAGAGCAAAUAUGGAAGUGGGAGUCUCAAGAGUUACCGUAAGUAAACUUCAUUUCUUCAACUUGUCUUUUUAUGGCAUCAAGCAAUGUAUAUAUGUCAACAGAUUUCUCCAACUCCAAACUUUGCAUAUAAAAAAUGGUGGCGACACUGAGAAUGGAAGAAGGAAAAUUUUUAAGAACAUUCCCAAAAAGCUCUCAGUGCAGAUCUUGGAUUGUUAUUUUCCUAUUAUUUUUUUCAUUUAAGCCAAAUUAUGCUCACAUGAUUCUCUACCUCUCUUUUCAAUGCUCUUAACUAACCAAACCGACAUAUAAUAUUAUUUGUACUUUUUUUAUAAAUUAAAAAAAAAAAAAGUUCUACAAUUUUAUUAUUGUUACAUCUCUCUUCACUGUCAAUUUUAGUUUGACUGUGGUCAAUUUUUUUCCAAUAAAAGCUGCAUUUUUUUAGUGUUUUGACUGAUGUGUGAAAAGAGAGGAGUCAAAGAGCUAUUGAUUACUGGAUUGACCAUACCGGUUGCCUCUUUUGUUUCUUACCAAUGCUCAAUAUGUCUCUUUUGGGAAUAUGAAAUGACCAGAAUGCCCAUCACAAUGCUCGAGGAGAUGCAACAAGACCCAAUACCACAAGCCCUGCAUGUUUUUCUGUCAGAAGUGCUGCAGGAAGUGCCUGUGUGUUCCUCCGGGUUAUUAUGGUAAUAAGGCUGUGUGCCCUUGCUACAACAACUGGAAGACCAAGGAGGGAGGACCCAAGUGCCCUUGAGCUUCAACCUCAUCAACAUCAAAUGUUGCUUUCUUAUAUAUUUAUCACUUCCUUCAUUGUUCCAUUUAAGGCACUAGCUUACUUCCCUACUAUUCACAUGUCCUAACUAAAUGAUAUAGCCCCUUGUGGUGGCACUAUGAUGUAUGUUUUCUUAUGAAUUUUGGGAUGUCCUCCCUCUAAGGACCACAUCCGUAGUAUCACUCCUUAGGACUUGCUUUCCUUUCAUGUGAGUGGCUUACUUAUAUCAAUACAUCAUCUGUGGAACUUAUUUCUAGUUUAAUGUCUUAUAAUUUUGGAAUCAAUGGGGGCUUCGGUGAUGCAUUGAAUCAUUGAAUAGAUAAUUGGGUUACUUCAUUCUUAUUACAAAGAGCAAUCUUUUUUCCCUGUCAGAGUAGUGUAGUUUCUUCUUUACAAGGUCCCUAUUUAUUACCAGAUAGGUGUGCAUGUGAUAAGGCAAAAGUGAUGCUCUUGCUC